UAUUUUAACCUCCUCAAGUUCUGACACCUAGUAAAUUACAGACCUCCUCACUCAUAAUAUGAGCCCUUUCAAGGGUUUCUAAACAACUCUAUACUUUGCAUCUCUUCUUGCAAAAAUGAACUAUGAAAUGCUAUUCUAUAUAUCUAAAGCACUCAGCUGGUGAAGCAGACUGGCCUCUCAAUGCUCAUGUGGACACCUGAAGCCAGCCCUGGACAUCAACAUUUGUUGACCUUACCGCUUCAUUUUGAACCUGGGUGCCUCCAGCAGGUGGAUUCUGAAGACGGAAACAGUCACCUCCCCCUCCCCUUUCCUUAUCCGUGACUUUACCAUAAUUCUUCCCCAAUCAUCUCUCUUAGCCUCAAUCGUAAGAGUGGAGGGAAAUUAUAAGCAUCUUAUGAACUCUUUAGACAAAUAUUCAUUUAGGACCUACUAUGUCUCAAGCAUUUUGCUAGUCACAAGGUGCAGUAGUAAGCCAGAUAUAGGUGCUUUUCCUCCUCAGAGAGCCUGCAGACCACUGGAAAAUCACAACUGCUCAUAUGAACGGAGGGCUUACCCCUGUGGGACGAUGUGCUCUUAUGUACACUAUCGUAUUUAAAUCUCAGAGAAGUAGCUAUUAUUAAUAUCUCCACUUUACAGAUGAGGAAACUGAGGGUUGCCCAAAGUCACACAAUUGAAAUUGGGCAGAACUGAGACACGAACGUAGGUCUCUCUGAUGCCACACACUCAACCACACAGACAUCCUCUCUCUCACAGCUACCAUGCGGUAGGACCUGGGGUUCUAUUCACGGCUGGAGGGUAGCAGCUCUUCUACAAUUCUGCUGCAGUUUCGGCUGAAUGCUUUGAUUUGCAAAUAUGAAGGAGUCGCCGCUGAAGCACAACCUUAAACAAAUUGUGGUAGACAGCUGGGAGAGGACAGCUGCAGAAAGAAAAAUGUGGCCGGAUGCUCAGGGGGAGGACAGGAUGGGUGUACAUGAGGCAGCUCUACGUGGUGACAGGCCAACAUAAGAGGGACUGCAGACAGAUCACCUAGACCCCAGACCAAAUGGAAGGAGACCUUAGAUAUUCCGGAAUACACUGUCUUUAUUAGGUUAGCAAGUACAACCAGGCUAUAAGGACAUUUUUUUCUUUGCUCACGUCAUUCAAGUGAUUAUUCAAAUACAUUUAAAAACCUGUUGUUGCUUGUCGCCCUGAUGUAAUGACACAGAAAGACUGCAGGACCAAGAAUCAGGAGACCUAAAUUCUUAUCCAGAUAGGCACAACUAAUUCGCUUGUGUGAUCUUUUGCUUGUCCGUUGGCUUCUCUCAUUCCGGGUUGACUCCUUUCUAAAACAAGGAAAUUGGGCUACUUAGCCUUACUGAUUUUUGAAGUUUCAAACUGCUGUAAUGCUAUGAUUUAUGGAGCACCUCCACUGUGCCAGUCCCACAUUAAACAUUUUGAGGUUUUAAAGCAAUGAGAAGUCAUGUUUCCAGCCCUCUGAACCUGUGCUGUCCAAUACAGUAGCCACCAACCACAUGUGGCUAUGGAGCACUUGAAACGUGGCUGGUGUGACUAAGUCACAAUUUUAUUUCAUUUUAAUUAAAUUAAAAUAAGAAACUAUAAUGCAUUUAGUUACUGAAAACUUUUAUGUUUGAAACAACCCAGGGAUGUGAUUUUUCUUUUUUCAACAGUCUAAAGAUUUUUCUUUUUUCAACAAUCUAAAUACAG
Suricata suricatta (meerkat) is the source of this 1704-nucleotide long non-coding RNA. RefSeq lists it as uncharacterized. The record is from RefSeq and is a predicted model, not a curated record. Lineage: Eukaryota; Metazoa; Chordata; Mammalia; Carnivora; Herpestidae. The transcript has 3 exons.